Long non-coding RNA from Ruditapes philippinarum (Manila clam), 563 nucleotides. RefSeq lists it as uncharacterized. The transcript has 2 exons. The record is from RefSeq and is a predicted model, not a curated record. Lineage: Eukaryota; Metazoa; Mollusca; Bivalvia; Venerida; Veneridae.
UUGGUCAGGUCGGAUAUCCGGGCACUUUACUGAAGAGCGUUGCCUAGCAAUAAGCCGAGGUGAAAACAGACGCCAUUUUGUAUUUAGCGACAGUCGUUGUUUUUUGCUGCAUUUUGUAGAAUUGAACGAAUAAUUGAAUAUUUUUCGCCAUGCCAACGAUUUGAAGUGUUGCUGGAUGCAAUAUUCAUUUGGAAGAAAGAAAAAUAUAAUAAAAUACUUUACCAUAUGUGACUAGAAACAAGGAUCGACGAUACGGCGAUUGAGAAGCGGAUACGGCGUGUGGCUCAAAUGGGAAACCGAUUACUGAUCAAACCAGUUCCAACCAGUUUCAAAUGGACAGUAAACCACUUUUUAAAAAUACUUAAUUGGCACCCUAGCUGUGUAUUAAUCAGAUUAUCACUAGUAUCUUUUUCAAAUACAAUAUACCACCCCUAGGGCAUCAUGUGACAUUCCGGAGGGCUUAAUUGGACCACAUGUUUAUAACUUAUUUGCUAAUUGUGAUUAUCUGAACUGAUUAAGAGAUAAAAGACAUGUUUUAAUAAAUAACAAAUCCUUUGUCUUCA